UUAAUUUGCUGGGGGAGCCGAAAGGCUGAGAGAGUUGAACUCGACCCUUGGAACUUGAUACGGUUAAUACCGUCGUAGGGAAGCAAGAUAUAUUCGAU
RNAcentral lists this non-coding RNA (98 nucleotides) under Peptostreptococcaceae bacterium AS15. Its description in RNAcentral is "Eubacterium sp. AS15b TPP riboswitch aptamer (THI element)". It matches the Rfam family "TPP riboswitch aptamer (THI element)". Rfam says of the family: Vitamin B(1) in its active form thiamin pyrophosphate (TPP) is an essential coenzyme that is synthesised by coupling of pyrimidine and thiazole moieties in bacteria. The previously detected thiamin-regulatory element, thi box was extended, resulting in a new, highly conserved RNA secondary structure, the THI element, which is widely distributed in eubacteria and also occurs in some archaea. RNAcentral also lists the same sequence under 1 other name. The record is from Rfam by way of RNAcentral. Lineage: Bacteria; Bacillati; Bacillota; Clostridia; Peptostreptococcales; Peptostreptococcaceae.